Long non-coding RNA from Homo sapiens (human), 11657 nucleotides. RefSeq lists it as uncharacterized. The record is from RefSeq and is a predicted model, not a curated record. The transcript has 5 exons. Lineage: Eukaryota; Metazoa; Chordata; Mammalia; Primates; Hominidae.
GAACAUGAGGAUGUGAACCUGAGUAAGACGGAUCUCUACCCAAAGGAGCAUGGUCUAAUAAACAGAGAAGGCUCAGGAGGGUCAGAAACACGGUGCCUCAUUUCUCAGCCUACUUGCCAAGAAUUCCCAAAAAGGAAGCACUGGAGGAUCAUUCCAAGGCUUGAGCCUUUCUUCACGAAGUAAGUCAGGUUGUGGGCGAGAGAUUCAGAAGACUGGAGAGAGUUUUUCUGCACUGCCUGCUCAGCACCAGAGAAACCGGAGGACCCUUGGCUGUGCCCACAGCGGGAAAAGCCCAGGCUCCAGGUCCAGGACUACCCACUUCCCUUGGAAUGGUGUUGCCAUCACUGUUCUGGCACCGGAGAAAGGAUUCUACAUCGUUAGGAGAAAAGAAAAAGGAGAAUUUGGGCUUGCACUGAGAGGAUUACCUUUGGUGGUCUGGAAGUGGUGGUAAGUCCUGGACAAUUCUCACAUUAAUCGUUUUUGCCUGUUUAAAAUGGGAAAAAUAAUGCCUACUUUAUAGGACUGCUAGGAGGCUUAAGUAAGUAUGUGUGCUUGUAAACUCUCCACAGAUGCAUGCUGUCAUUAUGAUCUUUGCUGCACAAGCAUUAUUUAACGUCCUCAGUGUGAUUUUUUAAAUUUCACUCUCACAAAAGAUAGGUUUCCUCUUCAUAAUAAACAUGCGUCUACUUCCCUUUUUGAACGUAAGAUCCCAAACAAAAAGGAAAUUGAUGUCCUUAUAAAAAGGAGCCAAUGCAAGAAGCAUCUAGAAGUAACUUUAGAUGCAGUGUCAAGAAGUUUAUUAGUGACAGUCAUGUACAUAGCACAGUGUAGAGUAAUGCAAAUCUGUGCUUAUACCACCCAUUUAAAAUAAUUUUAGUUAGCACAUGAAUUUGUUGCAUAUAAGCAGCACCUUUGACAAGUUAUUUAUUUAAAAGGGUCAGAUUCAGGCAUUGUUUCUAAAGUAGAACUUCAAUGGCAAAAUCUGAAAAUGUUAUUCUUUCAAUUAAAAAAAGUGAGUAGGUGUGUGUGUGUGUGCGUUUAUCACUGGUUUCAUGAGUAUUGCUGAUUCUCAUAAUAGACAGAUUAGAAAAUCUGACCAACUCUGUAUUAAUUAUCUAUUGUUGCACAACAGAUUACUCUAAUACUUAGUUAAAACAACAGACCUUUGUCAGUGUGUGGUUUUUGUGGGUCAGGUACAUAAAAGAGGUUCAGCUGAGUGGUUCUUGUUUGGAAUCUCUUAUGAGUUUUCAGCCAUGCUAUUAACAGGGGUUUUGAUCAUCUGAAGGUUUAACUGGGGCUGAAGAGCCUGCCCCCAAGAUGAGUCACUCUUGUUUAGUGGUUAGCAGGAAACCCCAGCUCCAUGCUGGCUAUUGGCAGGAGGCCUCGGUGUUUCACAAUGUGUACCUCUCCAUAGGAUUGCUUGAGUAUCUUCGCAACAUGGCAACCGGCGUCUCCCACAGGGACUGAUCUAAGAAAGAAUAAGGAAGAAGCCUCAAUGCCUUUUAUGUCUUAAUCAUGAGGUCAAAUACCAUGCCUUCUUCUAUAUUCUGUUUGCUAGAAGCAAGUUACUAAGUACAGCCCAUACUUAAAGGAAGAAGAAUUAGACUCUACUUUUUGAAAGGAGGAGUAUCAAAUAAUUUUUUAACAUGUUGCAAAACCAACAUAAGUUCUUUGGUAUAAAUUGCACUUUUCUAUUGUUGGUAUUCAGAACAAAACAUUUUUCACAAUUGCAAUAGCUACCUAUAUUAUUGGAUUCUCAGAAUACAGAACAUAAAUCUCUUUAUUGGUUAUGAAGAAAAUGAAUUCAGAGGCAUAAGGAGCUUUCUUCAGGUACAGAGAAGUUCAGUGUCCAACUCUAGACUUAGAUCUAGAAUUCCGAUAUAUAAUUUCAUAUGCAGUCAGAUUACAUCUAAAUAAUAAUAGCAAAAACAGGGCUCUUCUACUGUACUGUAAUUUACUUUUCCAACUUUUGGCUACUUACAAGAUCACAAACAUCUGGAUUUAAAUUGGAAACAUCUUCUCAAAAAUCCAGAUGUUUCCAAAUAUAGGUGUUUUUUUUUUAAGCCAUCAAAAACCCCUUGGUGAAUGAGUAACUAUGCAUGUUGAAUGGUUAUCCCAUUAAAAAUCUAACUCCCUUUCCCAAUUUACGUUAUUCUAGGUGGAAAGUUUCUAAUGUAAUCCAGUGUUAAAUUAGGAGUUUGGACUGACUGAGGCAACAAGAUAUAAGAGAUGUCAGAUAGCAAAGUGAGGUGAGAGACAGGACAUCAAGUCGGAAAUUUUGAAAGAAACUCUCCUGAAACCGCACAGCUUCUGUGCCUCUCCUCCAACAUUCCUCACCUAGGCUGAGGUUAAGAAGGGGGAUGUUAGAGUGAGGCAUUUGAAUGUUAGAAAAGCAAUCCCCCCACCGCAAAUAAGGGAACAGCCUCCACACCAGACUGCUUAGAGUUGAUAAAAGACCUCUGUAGGCCAAAGGCGCAAGGAACUCGUACCUGGCUCAUGACUUAUAAGACUUUGCCUAUGAGAAUUAGAAAACUCAUGAAGAGUUCUUGAAUUUUCACUAAGAGGCAGUGAAAUCAUUACUUCCACAGAACAGGUUUAAAGGGAUAGCAGAAAAUGAAAAUAAAGAUACUUUUAUAACUAUCCCUCAUGCAGCCUCUAUGUUUAACACAUGGAUCCACUAAAAUAUAUCACAGACAUUUUCUGCCUUUUAAACAAAGUAUGGUGAGUUAUUAAGAAAAGGUUAAGUUAUUUUCAGUGUUAUCAUGACUAAUGCAAUAAUUAAAAAAACCUUGGAUUUGAAUACUACAUUUUCAAAGUAACUCAAUACAAUGAUGUCCCCAAGGCUUAUGGAGAUCUAUGGGGUUAUUUACCCCAGACUCAUAAUUCUUACAUGUGUGUUUCCAAUUUUCCUGACACAUCAUUUGGUUUCUAUAUUUUCCAUUGUCACUUUCACUAAUUUCUUCAUGCUUCUGUAUAUUAUCUCCUCUCUCUUCUUUUAAUUGAUGUUUGGGAGAUAAACUUGUUGGAAUUGUGAGUGAAAUAAGAUUAAAUAGUACCAUGAUCUUUAUUUGUUAAUUGCUUGCUAACCAACAUUCUACACAGAGAAAGGUGCUGGAUAACUGACUUAUGAAUAAGGGAAUUCUGACUCAAUUUAUGUAUUAGGUAAAAAUUAAAAACCAGAGGUGUGUACAUACGAGGUAUUCAUUGACAUUAAGUAUUUGAUAAGUAAUUUUGGCUUCAUUUUUAAUAGGAUUUUUCUUUAUGUACUUUUAAAUUAGUUAAUUAAUUCGGCUAGUACAUAGUGAGUACCUAUUAUGUGCCAGAUGCUAAGCUGGUAUCCAUUAAUGCUGAAUUGGAUUAAACUGUUUAGUCAACUGCUUCUAUUUGAGUUCAUGAGCUCAAUCCUAACUGUGCUCUGUAACUUGGGCCAAGAAAUGGAUUUUCCAUGUCUUUUGAGAAUGGCAAAUCUCUUAUGCCACUUAAGAAGAUGAAGAGACAAUGCAUUUAAUACCAGAUGGGGAAUGAAUUCUAACCCAACAAAUGGCAGAGGAUUUGCUGUGAGGCCUGACAGCAAUAAAACUCACACUUUACUUUCAUAUGAUGCUUUAGUUUUCCAGAUUUCUUUAAGAACUGUCCUUGUAUUAUACUUCCACAACAGCUUUCUGAAAGGUAAGAGAACUCUGAAUUCUGUUACAAGUGAGGCUAAAUGUUCUAAUUGCCGAGAGCCAAUAACCAAGCCAGGGCUAGAGUUGCAUCUUUAUUCUGUAAAAUCCGCCUUUUCUUUCUUAAAUCAGGGCUCCAGCCUGGGCUUUGGAGGCUUAAUUUCUGCUGGUAUAAUAUUUAUUGGGCUGAUUUUGAUGCAAUGCAGAUCACAUAUUUAAAGAUAUAAUUGGACGUCCUUGUAGCCAAGUGGUUUCUCCAGAGCUCGAAAUGCACCAUCAGUGCCUGUGUUUGGGAACCUAUAUAUUUCUGACCUCUGCUCUACUUCAUAAAAGAGUUGAGUUACCAGAAACAGAACUGAAGGCCAAGAGUGGUUUUCAUGCAUUGAGCCCUUGGCAUUGGUUCCUGGUAGCAAACCUCUGCCCUUCAUGCAGCAGGAAGCUGAGAGAAAGACCUGCUUCCCAGGGCUAGAUGCUUUGGGAGAAGACAUUCCUCACCACCAGGUCAGUGUAGAGGCUUCUGCUGAGGCAACAAGGAAGGACUGAGGCUGGAGAAGGUCCAGGGUGUCCUAAUUGCCAUUGACUUCGAAGUCCUGCUUCCACUGCAGAGUGAAACUAUAAGAGGAAAGAGAAAUUUCCUACCCUACUGACACUCCCCACUUCCAGAAGCUCGGCUUCUACCUAUGGAGCUGUCAGGCUCCCUUUUCUGGUCAGCACUGGGGAAGUCAGUGAUGAGCAAGCCAUUGAGGCUGAAACACACAUUCAGGGUUUGCAGCCAACACCAACGUUUCCCUCAUUGCACAUAUUGUGUUGGGACAAUGGUCUGAUCAAAUGUUUCCUAAUUUCAUUGUGGACUUCCUCUCUCUAAUGAGUCCCUUUCUCCCAGCUCUAAAUAAAGAAGAUGCUAAAAACGUGACACACACUACAGAUGGGUCACCCACAUCUGGGCUUUUCAUCUUAAAGACGGGGUGGGGGUGGGGAGGACAGUUAAGCAAGACAUGGCUGACUUUUCUUAUAAAAGGGGUGAGUGGGGAAAGGGGGGGUAGAGAGAUGAGGGAAUGAGGCCGAAUCAUCCACCAUUGUUACUGAAUGACAGACAUAUCCAUUGGGACUAAUUAUAAUAACGAUCCCAGUCCAUAACUGACUCAGAGCUUGAGUGUCCCUCUCUAUGCCACAUUCUCAAAUGUGGGCACCUGGAUUGCACCCAUGAAGUUGACAUUUACCAGAGAAACCCAUGUACAGAUUGAUAUUUGCAUGUGAAAACUGGAUAAUUGUGUGUGUGAGAGCAAUAGAGUUUCUGUACACAAUUACCAGCCUCUCCUCGAGAUGUUGGGAGCAGUUUCUGGUCCUUUGGGAAACUGGCCUGCAAUUUGCUGGUGCAGACUGGAGUUCGGGGAGUGUAGGAGACACAUUCCCAGGUUUUAGGGAAGAAAGUGUGAUGAGUUGAGAUGGAUGCAUUGACCAUCUGUGAUGCACUCAGCACUGUAACAUGGUGUGUAAGACCACAGACUGUGCCAUCGGAUGGACCUGGAUUCCAAUUCCAGCUCCACUACAGCUCUCACUAGUGCAAAGUGCAGGAGAGUGUAGUUUCUUUGAGAAGCUAUAAAUAACUAUAUGUUUGAGCAUUGGGUCUGCAUCGUAUUGUAGCAGAAUCACGUAGGUCUCUGUAUUAGGCAAGGUUCUCUAGAGGGACGGAACUAAUAGGAUAGAUGUAUAUAUGAGGGGGAGUUUAUUAAGGAGUAUUUACUCACAUGAUCACAAGGUCAAGUCCCACGAUAGACUGUCUGCAAGCUGAGAAGCCAGUGGUGGAUCAGUCCGAGUCCCAAAACCUCAAAAGUAGGGAAACCGACAGUGCAGCCUUCAGUCUAUGGCCAAAGGCCUGAGAGCCCCUGGCCAGCCACUGGUGUAAGUCCAACAGUCCAAAAACUGAAGAACUUGGAGUCCAAUGUUCAUAGGCAGGAAGCAUCCAGCACAGGAGAAAGGUGAAGGCCAGAAGACUCAGCAAGUCUGCUCUUCCAUCUUCUGCUUGCUUUAUUCUAGCCAAGCUGGCAGCUGAUUAGAUGAUAACCACUCAGAUUGAGGGUGGAUCUGCCUCUCCCAUUUCACUGACUCAAAUGUUAAUCUCCUUUGGUCACACCCUCACAGACACACCCAGGAACAAUACUUCGCAUCCUUCAAUCCAAUCAAGUUGAUGCUCAGUAUUAACCAUUACAGUCUCCAAGGGAACAGAGUUGGCACAGUGAGGUUAAGUCUUUGGCAGAACAAGAUUUGAACCAAGACUGUCCCUUUUAAUUGUCCUGCAUUUAGCCAUCUCACAUGGGUGUUCAGUGAGCACUUGGUGAGUAAUGGGACUCCAAGCACAAAGAUGUUCAUCAUUCUUCUGUGUGUGAGUUUUCCUCUUCAGUUUGUGAGCCACACUGGGUCCUGUAAAGAAGGAAUCUUCAAGCCCAGUUUUAGGGAUGCAGGUAAUUUCCACAGCCAGUGCUUCCUGUGGUCAGUAUUGAGGAUCACAAAAGCCACAAGAUGCCACAAGGAGUCUGUCAAUUUUCUUUUUGUGUGUGUGUGUGUCGUCCAACCUGGAGUGCAGUGGCGCGAUCCCGGGUCACUGCAAGCUCCACCUCCCGGGUUCAUGCCAUUCUCCUGUCUCAGCCUCCAGAGCAGCUGGGACUACAGGCACCUGCCACCAAGCCCAGCUAAUUUUUUGUAUUUUUAGUAGAGACGGGGUUUCACCAUGUUAGCCAGGAUGGUCUCUAUCUCCUGACCUCAGGUGAUCUGCCUGCCUCGGCCUCCCAAAGUGCUGGGAUUACAGGCGUGAGCCACCGUGCCUGGCCAGGAGUCUCUCAAUUUUCUACCCCUGGCUUUACUGUAUCUUUGGCUGAAUCCUCUGCCUAGAGUGAACCAUGUCUUUCUCUCUUUCUCUUCUGCUCUUCUCUUCCUCAAGCUCAGAUGAAGCUGUACCUCUUCUUGGAAAAACAAACCCAUGAGAAAGGCACUAAUCCUAUCGCCACUAUAUGGAUGAGGAAACUGAGUUACAGAGAGAUUAAGUAACCAAUCCAACAUCAUAGAGCCAAUAAGUAGCAGAGGCAGGAUUUGAAUACUGACAGAUUGGUUCUAAAACCAGUGCUCCUAACCAUUAUACCAUGCAACUGCUCAAUUAGAAUAGCCGUGUGUGUGUGUGUGUGUGUGUGUGUGUGUGUGUAUACUGAGCUGGACCCUCAGUAUAUACAGUCAGUGAAUUUUUAAUGAAGAAGAAGGUGAGGAGUUUAUUUUGGCCUUGGACAGAUCACCAAGUAUUCUUGGGUUUAAGGCACAUUUUGGUAGUUUUCUAACUUUACCAGCAGAAUGUAGUCAACGACUGGGAAGAGUGGGCCUCGGUGGCGUUUUUAUGCCACCAACUGGCUUUAAGUGCACCAGCUAAAAGCAGUUUCUUGCUGGAGGAGCUGCAAGAACCAGGGGAAAGUGGCACUAUUCGUGCUAUGGUGUAAGACAUGUUGCAGAGUCACGUGUUCUGUUGCCAAUUUUGGAGGAAUGCCGUGAUGUAUUUUCUGUUGCAGCUCUGGGGCUUCUCCUAAACUCCUACUCCAAUCCCCAAGGUCUUUUUUUCCCCCUUCUGCAACAGGCUCUAGGAAAUCAACACACUUCCCUCUCCCUCAGAAGCUGCCACUGUCCUUUGGGGUUGGUUUCCUUAACACCCUCUGAAGACAAACACAAAACACCUUUUUGUCUUUAAGGCUUUUACUGCUAAUCGCAAGGGGAAAACAGAGCAUCACAAAAAUGGCAAUGAUGAGAAGCAGUAGAUGGUCCAGCAUCUUACAAAGUCCAUGUUGUCUGGAUCCUUUGUAGUUUUAAAUUCCUUCUGAAAUCAUGAAGGAAAGCCUCAAAGAUCUUGUGCCCACUUCUGAAGGUUGAACUCGCUUAAUCUUCCCACUGUUUUCUGAUUUCUCCUUUAGUGAGGUCAUAGGAAUAAUUUUCUUCAUGUGACUCCUCUUCCCAGCCUCAACAUGUAGUCUCUGGGUAUCCAGUAGGUGUUUGACUUCUGUAAAGACUUCCAGAGUGAGUUACUCUGGCUGGUUCAAUGCACUGCUCUUUCUCUGGGUCUUUCCCUACACUCACUAAGGUCCCCAAAGGCAGGAACCAUUCCCUGUUCUUCUGUCUCCUCUCUUGUUGAUGGGUUUAUGGCCAAAAGCCUGAGCUUAUUGUCUACACAAGCAAUGUAGAAAUGGUUUAUGGCUUGACUUGGGUCUUUAUCCCUGAAAGUAAUUCUCUGAUGGUAAAUUUGUACUUUUAUACUUGUCAUGAAUCGAAGGGCCUUCAGGGGAAUGUAAUUUUUAUUUAAAACCAUCUAGUAGAUGUUGGCAAAUACAAAAAUAGGAGAGUGGGUUGAGCCAGUCUGCUUGGGUGAAUGUCUGCUUGGAAAUCGCAUACUAGGAUAUGCUGUAUUGAGUAAUAAAGUAAAGGCUGUCUGGAGUCAGAUAGAUGUGGAGGUGCAAGAAGAGGGUGUACAAAUGUUCUUAGAGAUAGAUCUGGAGGUACAAGAAGAAGACGUACAAAUGUUCUUACUGUGCUUAUACCAUUGAAUGUACUUUGAUGAUUUGGUGCCAGAAAAGCAGAGAAACACAACUGCAAAGAAGCAAGAAAGGAGAAAGUAGGAUCAGAGGACCUGGGGAAGGGGCAGCCAGACCUGAGAGGCAAAGCUUAGAGAUCAGACAUCAUACUUGGGCUAGGAAAGGCAGCAUUUGAUGAGGCAAGGGAGCAGGGAAUGGCAUCUCUAAAGUAUGACCUGAGAUUGAAAGCACGUCAAGAGAAAGCCAAGAGCCGUGUGAAGCAAGUAAGAAAUAUCAGCCCCAAGAUCUGCUCUCCCUUCAGUAUGGGUGGCCUUUUCCUGUUCUCUUGUCUGCACUUUCUCAGGCAGUUGUGAAUGAUGAGGCCACCCAACAGAAAUGAUAAGCCCUCGAAACCUCCGUUUUGUUAUGCUCUUUUUCCAGCUAAGCAAUUUCUUCAUGAUGUGGGGCAGAGGGUUGGAGCAACGGUUCCCAGCAGACCACCAUGAGCUUCUCAUGAGAGAAGCUGCCCUGAAAAGAUACACGAUUGAGAGCAGAUGAUGAUAAUCAUUAUCAUCAUUUUGGCAAACUUAGAGGAGAACGCAUAUAGGAUACUAAAAUCUUAUGGUGCUGGCGAUGCAUUUUAUGGGAAUCUGGCAUUGAUUCAGAAGACAGUACUUCUACCCUGAGACUGUUGUAAUUUCAACAACUUAAAAUACAUGCCCACUUUAAGACAAUAUGUCAAGACUAUAGUGAGUGAAAUAAUAAUAAUAGCUAUUGUAAUUUGAAUGGGAAUUUCUUACCGUAGCCUGAUUAGCAGAGGGUCUUUAGUCAAGGACAUGCAUUAACAUCAUCUAUUGUACGAAUGAUAAUCUACUAAUGCAAUACUAUUAAUACAAGAGUCGCUUUGUAGAUUUGUCAUCAUUAUGUUAUAUGUCCAAUGAGUGUAUGUAAAAACAGUUAAGUAUUUCUCCAGUGUCCUUCUCCUUAAAGUAGCCCAUAUUUUAAGCUCAUCCAGCUCUGCUUCACUUGCAUGAGCAUCUUCCCCAGGCUCCUGGAGAAAGUCUGUUGCUUGGUCUGACAUCUCCUGCUUCUCUCCUUGGCCAAUCUCCUUUUCAACGUAAAGACCUUAUCCCUUAUUUCAAGCUCCUGAUUAGUUGUCUGUUUCUGUUGGUCUCAUGGACCUCACUACCUGUUUUGGAUGGAUUAUCCAGCUCUGAAGGGCUGUCAGACUCUCCUCCCAGAGGACAUCCAUCUAAGAACCCCUGUUCUUCAUCUCAGCACACUUUCUCUUAAUACUCUUCUUACUGAAUCAAAGAGCUGGGAGCUUCCACCUCAGUGUGGAAGAGCCAUAGGCGCCAGACUCCAACCCAUGAGCGCAGCUACAGGGGGCUGCAGCCUGGAAUGCCCUAGGGGCAGAGCCUACCUCUUGCACCAGGUUGCAGGACAUGGAGUCAAAAGAGAUGGUUUUGGAGCUUUAAGAUUUAAUGACUGCCCUGUUGGGUUUCAGACUUGUGUGGGGCUUAUUGUCCCUUUCUUUUGGCCAAUUUUCCCCUUUUGGAAUGGGAAUGAUACCCAUUCCCUGCACCAUCAUUAUAUCUUGGGAGUAAAUGACUUGUUUUUGAACUCACAGGCUCAUAGGUAGAAGGAACUUAUCUCCAAUUGAGACUUCAGACUUGAAACUUUUGAGUUAAUGCUGAAACGGGUUAAGACUUUGGGGGACUAUUGUGAAGGCAUGAUUGUCUUUUGAAAUGUGAGAAGGACAUGGGAUUUGGGGGGCCAGGGGUGGAAUGAUAUGGUUUGGAUGUUUGUCCUCUCACAAUUUCAUGUUGAAACGUGAUUCACAAUGUUGGAGGUUGGAUUAUGGCAAUGUAUUCCUCACGAAUAGCUUAGCCCCAUCCCCUUGGUGAUGAGUGAGUUCUUGCUCAGUUAGCUUAUAUGAGAGCUAGAUGCUUAAUGAGCCCAAUUCUUCCUGCACUCUCUCUUGCUCGUUUUUGCCAUGUCAUACACCUGCUCCCCCUUCACCUCUCACCAUUGAUUGUAAGCUUCCUUAGGCCUCACUAGAAACUGAGCAGUUGCUGGCACCAUGUUUGUACAGCCUGUAGAACCAUGAGCCAACUAAUCCUCUUUUCUUUAUAAGUUACCUAGGUAGUUACCAGGAUUUUUUUUUUUUUUCGAAGUCUCAGUCUUGUCCCCCAGGCUGGAGCGUGAUGGCGCGAUCUUGGCUCAUUGCAACCUCCGCCUCCGGGGCUCAAGCGAUUCUCCUGCCUCAGCCUCCUGAGUAGCUGGGAUUACAGGCACCUACCACCACACCCGGCUAAUUUUUGUAUUUUUAGUAGAGACAGGGUUCCACCAUGUUGGCCAGGCUGGUCUCGAACUCCUGACCUCAGGUGAUCUGCCCGCCUCGGCCUCCCAACGUGCUGGGAUUACAGUCGUGAGCCACUGCGCCUGGCCCAGGUAUUUCUUUAUAGCAAUGCAAAAACAGACUAAUACAGAGGCCGUUAAGCUGCCUGCCACAGCUAUGUAAAUAGUGCUCACUACAUGAUAUUAUAGUGCAUGUUAUAGGGAGUCAUGAUUAUAUUUCUUUUCUAUACAACUUUUUAUUUUCUUUGGACCUAAUAUUUGCCUCUUUUUUUCUAUUUGCUUGUGUUUUACAUGUAUCUAUUAUUAAUUCAUCCUUAAACCAUCUGAUACAGCUGACAAUCUUAAUUCCUAAACAUGCCAACUAUUCUUUUAGUUCCAUCUCUCUUUUCUUGGCAUCAUUCCUCAAGAGCUCUCUGUCUUUCUUCUCCAAUUUGGGUUUUGCCUUUUUGGGGUGCAGCAUAGGUGUUUUCUUGUGGUUUCUCUUCACUACCAUCCUGAUUUUUUUCUCUCUCUCUUCUGUUUUAGACUCUCUGUUUCCAGGAUCCCAUGUCUUUGUUGUUGUUGUUGUUGUUGUUUAUUCUCCCAUUUAACCGACUCACAUCAACAUCUUUCUACCAGUUCUCCUGUUAUCCUGGCCUCCUGUGUGAUCUGUAACCCAAACACCUGGGUUUUUCCAGGAAUCUUCAAGGAACAAGAUCUUGUAUUUGUGGCUUUGUCUGGGGCAGGUUUAAAUUUCAACACUCCCUGGUCUGCUAACUCAGCCGCAAUUCACCUCUCUUCCAGCUCUCAGCUUUUGUUGAUAUCAAUUGUGUACUGUCAUCUCUCAAAGUCUCUUUGGCCGUGUAGGCUUGAGCCGCUUUUUAUAUCUUGCUGAUAUUUUAGUGAGAUUUCAGCAGGGAGAGAAGAAUGGGUGUGUGGACACCUCUGUGCUGGGAACUGAUUACUUGGCUUCCACACUUGGUUCAGCUCUUCCACUGAAGGCAUGGGAUUGUUUAUUUUUCCCACAGAUAUUUUUGAAAUAUUCUAAAAUGGAAGCUAUUGCACUAACUGCCACUACAUUAUUUAUUUUGUCAUGUAGUAGGGUAUCUGCUGA